This 253-nucleotide ribosomal RNA is filed under the name uncultured bacterium. RNAcentral's name for it is "partial 16S ribosomal RNA". It matches the Rfam family "Bacterial small subunit ribosomal RNA", at positions 524 to 776 of the family's 1533-position model. The record is from RNAcentral.
UACGAAGGUGGCAAGCGUUACUCGGAAUUACUAGGCGUAAAGGGCAGGUAGGUGGUUUGAUAAGUCUGUUGUGAAAGCUCCCGGCUUAACUGGGAGAGGUCAACAGAAACUAUCAGGCUUGAGUAUGGGAGAGGAUGCUGGAAUUCCCGGUGUAGCGGUGAAAUGCGCAGAUAUCGGGAGGAACACCAAUGGCGAAAGCAGGCAUCUGGACCAUUACUGACACUCAGCUGCGAAAGCUAGGGGAGCAAACAGG